UGGGAGAGCGCUUGCAUGGCAUGCAAGAGGUCAGCGGUUCGAUCCCGCUUACCUCCACCA
This 60-nucleotide transfer RNA is filed under the name Bordetella bronchiseptica MBORD782. RNAcentral's name for it is "tRNA-Ser". It matches the Rfam family "tRNA", at positions 16 to 71 of the family's 71-position model. From Rfam's summary of the family: Transfer RNA (tRNA) molecules are approximately 80 nucleotides in length. Lineage: Bacteria; Pseudomonadati; Pseudomonadota; Betaproteobacteria; Burkholderiales; Alcaligenaceae. The record is from RNAcentral.